AGAGAGAGACAUGCGCGCAUAUCAAUAAGCGGAGGAAAAGAAACUAACAAGGAUUCCCUUAGUAACGGCGAGUGAAGCGGGAAGAGCUCAAAUUUGAAAUCUUCAAGGUUUUACCUUGACGAAUUGUAGUUUAAAGAAGUGUUUUCUGCUGGAGUUUUGGUAAAAGUUCUUUGGAAUAGGACAUCAUAGAGGGUGAGAAUCCCGUAUUUGACCAUUAUUUUCAGCUUUGUGAUACACUUUCAAAGAGUCGGAUUGUUUGGGAAUGCAGUCCAAAAUGGGUGGUAAAUUUCAUCUAAAGCUAAAUAUUGGCGAGAGACCGAUAGCGAACAAGUACCGUGAGGGAAAGAUGAAAAGAACUUUGAAAAGAGAGUUAAACAGUACGUGAAAUUGUCAAAAGGGAAGCGUUUGACACCAGUGUUGUUUUCUCGAAAAUCAAUUAAAAAUGGCUCGAUUUUGUAUUGUUGAGACCUUAAAAGCUCACUGUACAUUUUUCGUGUCUUUUUUAAUGCACUUUUCGUUUAACAAGUCAACAUCAGUUUCUUUUGUUGUAAAAGGGUCAUUGGAAGGUGGCUUUCUUUUCGGAGAAAGUGUUUAUAGCCUUUGGCCUCUGCAAUCGGAAGAGACUGAGGUCUGCAGCGUAGACUCUUCGGGGUUAGAUACAUUUGUGCUAAGUUAUAGCUUUUUAUAGACAACUUGUUGACUAUAAUUAGUCUUGUAGCUUACUCGCUUAUGCUAUUUUACCUACGCUUAGGAUGUUGAAGAUGUAGCACAUCAU
This 775-nucleotide ribosomal RNA is filed under the name uncultured Neocallimastigales. RNAcentral describes it as "partial large subunit ribosomal RNA". It matches the Rfam family "Eukaryotic large subunit ribosomal RNA", at positions 23 to 634 of the family's 3401-position model. Lineage: Eukaryota; Fungi; Neocallimastigomycota; Neocallimastigomycetes; Neocallimastigales. The record is from RNAcentral.